CCUACGGGGAGCUGCAGUGAGGAAUCUUGGUCAAUGGACGCAAGUCUGAACCAGCCAUGCCGCGUGCAGGAAGACGGCUCUAUGAGUUGUAAACUGCUUUUGUACGAGGGUAAACGCAGAUACGCGUAUCUGUCUGAAAGUAUCGUACGAAUAAGGAUCGGCUAACUCCGUGCCAGCAGCCGCGGUAAUACGGAGGAUUCAAGCGUUAUCCGGAUUUAUUGGGUUUAAAGGGUGCGUAGGCGGUCGGAUAAGUUAGAGGUGAAAUCCCGAGGCUCAACUUCGGAAUUGCCUCUGAUACUGUUCGGCGAGAGAGUAGUUGCGGUAGGCGGAAUGUAUGGUGUAGCGGUGAAAUGCUUAGAGAUCAUACAGAACACCGAUUGCGAAGGCAGCUUACCAAGCUACUUCUGACGUUGAGGCACGAAAGCGUGGGGAGCAAACAGGAUUAGAUACCCUAGUAGUC
This 460-nucleotide ribosomal RNA is filed under the name uncultured bacterium. RNAcentral's name for it is "partial 16S ribosomal RNA". It matches the Rfam family "Bacterial small subunit ribosomal RNA", at positions 338 to 795 of the family's 1533-position model. The record is from RNAcentral.